RNAcentral lists this ribosomal RNA (301 nucleotides) under uncultured bacterium. RNAcentral describes it as "partial 16S ribosomal RNA". It matches the Rfam family "Bacterial small subunit ribosomal RNA", at positions 509 to 807 of the family's 1533-position model. The record is from RNAcentral.
CAGCAGCCACGGGAAUACGGAGGGUGCAAGCGUUGUCCGGAUUUAUUGGGUUUAAAGGGUGCGUAGGCGGCUAUUUAAGUCAGCGGUGAAAGACUCCGGCUCAACCGGAGCAGUGCCAUUGAUACUGGAUAGCUUGAGUGUUGGAGGGGUACAUGGAAUUGAUGGUGUAGCGGUGAAAUGCAUAGAUACCAUCAGGAACACCGAUAGCGAAGGCAUUGUACUGGCCAACAACUGACGCUGAGGCACGAAAGCAUGGGGAGCGAACAGGAUUAGAUACCCCCGUAGUCCCUGUCUCUUAUAC